CGUGUGAGAAGCAGGCUCAGAUUAUUGCUACUCUGUAUUCAGAUCUGCAUGUGUUUCUUCUAAGCUGAAUAAAGCUGUUUUGGAACUGUCAGGUACCUCAAAGGAGAUGGGGUCUCGCUAUGUUGCCCAAGCUGGUCUCAAACUCCUGGGCUUAAGCUGUCCUCCCACUGCAGCCUCCCCAAGUGCUGGGAUUACAGGCAUGAGCCACAGCACCUGGCCUGGAAUUUAUUAAUAAUAGAGUUAUACAUCCUGAUCUUGUUUCUCACUCCAUUUACAUUUCAGGAAUCAGUGUUACAAGGCAGUUUGAUUAGAGAAAUCUGAAGUACAUUGAAAUUCCAAUUA
Molecule: small RNA, 342 nt
Filed under: Pongo abelii (Sumatran orangutan)
Lineage: Eukaryota; Metazoa; Chordata; Mammalia; Primates; Hominidae
Description: processed transcript
Source: RNAcentral